GAUGAACGCUGGCGGCGUGCCUAAUACAUGCAAGUCGAGCGAACGGACGAGAAGCUUGCUUCUCUGAUGUUAGCGGCGGACGGGUGAGUAACACGUGGAGAACCUACCUAUAAGACUGGGAUAACUUCUGGAAACCGGAGCUAAUACCGGAUAAUAUUUUGAACCGCAUGGUUCAAGAGUGAAAGACGGUCUUGCUUUCACUAAAAGAUAGAUCCGCGCUGCAUUAGUUAGUUGGUAAGGUAACGGCUUACCAAGGCAACGAUGCAUAGCCGACCUGAGAGGGUGAUCGGCCACACUGGAACUGAGCCACGGUCAAGACUCCUACGGGAGGCAGCAGUAGGGAAUUUUCCGCAAUGGGCGAAAGCCUGACGGAGCACCGCCGCGUGAGUGAUGAAGGUCUUCGGAUCGUAAAACUCUGUUAUUCGGGAAGAACAUAUGUGUAAGUAACUGUGCACAUAUUGACGGUACCUAAUCAGAAAGCCACGGCUAACUACGUG
Molecule: ribosomal RNA, 497 nt
Filed under: uncultured bacterium
Lineage: Bacteria
Description: partial 16S ribosomal RNA
Rfam family: Bacterial small subunit ribosomal RNA
Source: RNAcentral